Anguilla anguilla (European eel) is the source of this 708-nucleotide non-coding RNA. Lineage: Eukaryota; Metazoa; Chordata; Actinopteri; Anguilliformes; Anguillidae. The record is from the annotation of a RefSeq genome assembly.
GUCCAGUCCUUUCACAGACACUGACACAGGCAGCAUUAUGACGAGGUCAAACAUUUUACUGCUGGUGAUACUGGGACUAUUUGCUCAGGAAUCGAUGGCAGAUAUAGUCCUGACGCAGUCUCCGUCAGCUCAGUCUGUUCAGCUGGGAGACACUGUCUCUAUCAGCUGUACAGCCAGUCAGAGCGUUUACACUGAUAGCGAUGGCAACUGGCUCAGCUGGUACCUGCAGAAACCUGGUCAGGCUCCUAAACUUCUGAUUUAUUAUGCCACAACUCGCCAGUCUGGGAUUCCUGAUCGUUUCAGUGGGAGUGGAUCUGGGACUCAGUUCACACUGAAAAUCACUGGAGUCCAGGCUGAAGAUGCAGGAGAUUAUUACUGUCAGAGUUACCACAGUCCCAAUGUGUUCACACAGUGAUACAGAGCAGUACAAAAACCUCCCUCAGUCAGACUGCACAGAGACUGCACUGCUGCAUCUGGGACCGACUGCAGGUGCUGAGGUGGGAGGCACUGACCCGGGACACUGAGGGGCUCAGCGCUAAAACACCAAACUUCCGUAAUACAUUUUUUGUUUGUUAUUUGACAAGAGAGUACAAACGUUCCAUGUGUUCUCAGCAAGCUAGUAACACUACAAGUUGACAUUAAAAUGUAUUUAUCUAGUCGUUUUACAUAUAAAAUAAUAUGAGAAAGUUUUGUAUUAACAGCAACAUA